GGAAUUUCACAGUGCAGUUCAAAGGAAUCACGACAAUUUCUAUUAGACGACACUUAGGAAGCCGCAAAUGCGAUUUCCCUGUACCGAAGUGAUCGCGAUACUUAAGAAGCCAGGCUCCAAUUACCGGAAGCAACCACCGACCGUCCAACACGUAGUACGUACUGCCAAGGCGUCUCGACGCUCCUUCAAAAUUAUUCGGCAACGACGUCUCCGGGCGAGAAGACUUCCCGACGCUCUCUGUCCAUCGGGCAACGAGUCAAUUAGCUGCUGACCAAACGGCUCUGGCUAAUCACUGCCUUGAAUGAAUCUGUGGUCCGGGACCUCUGGGCAGGGUAGGCGGGGAACAGGGGGGGAGACGUGGAUACGGACAAGGAGUAAGGAGGUGGAUAUGUAAAAAAAAAGUGAAAGAAAAACACUCUGCCUAAAUUACGGGCAGACCAAUUAUAUUGCGUUUAAAAUUAAUUACUAGAUUAACCGAAGAUAAAUCGAUGCCUUGACGGCCGAGUAAGUGAGUGAUGAGGGAUGGGGACUCGCUCGGAAACAAAAGAGUCAGCUUGUCGGUUAUCUCGAGAGAGUAUCGGUGAGCUGUCGAUCGUCAAUUAUUCUUUCAAAUUAAUCCGGGGCCCUGACGUCGGGGCCCACCUAUUAUAACCAAUGACUCGUUUCUCCACCUUUUACUGCGGAAACUGCAUUUUAAAGAGGACACCGAGAGCGCGCUUUCAAUUUUUACGCCAAAUUAUCCGACAGAUGGCGCUGGGUGUUUGGGCGAUUUUUAUCUUAUCCCAUGACAUAUAUUCACUGAUGCACUUUUCAGGUGAAACUUUUUUUUUUUUUUAAUGGGAAUAUCGUUAGUUGCAAAUUUUAAUGGUGAUAUAUUUAAUUUGCUUGGCGCGACAAGCAGGCGGUGUUCGAGUAAAGCUGUAAAACUUUGCUGUAUUAAAUUUAUCUUGUGUAAAUAGCUACCGGCAUUUGUAUUCCGUAAUGGUUCCAUAACGCUAUCUCUGUUGAGGUUGCAGGCCGUUUCAAUUCUGGGUAAGCGAUCAUCUACAUGACCACAAUGUUAAUUCGACUAUGUAGCUAGUUCGUUGCUGUAAAAACAGUUAUUUACUUAUGUGCGUGAGGUAUAUGCUUAAGGGUCUUUUAAAGUCGUUUACGUAACGGCGAUAGUUCAUGGUUCUAAGAGGCCAGUCUUCGUUUGGCUGUCCUCUUAAAUAUUUUUUUUUUUUUUCCGGGUAAACACAAGUGUCAGGAUUUUUCUUUAAUGGUCGCCCUGCAAUUAAAUCAGGACGAUUUGUAAUUCGAUUCGAUCCAGCUGGCCACUGCUCGGGAUCCUUGGGUAUUUUGAGGCAAAAAACAGAGACCCAAGAAUUCUACGUGUUCUUACGAACCGUCCGACUCGGUCUUGGUGCUAUGAUGUUUGUCUUGUUACUUUUUUUAACUUUUUAUUUAUCUUUUCUUCUAGCCCCCUGCCACGAGAAUUCCGCGCGUCUCUGCGAUCUUUUGUCCCGGGAGCGUCGUUCGCGCAUUAAAAAUGUAUCAAUCUCGCAGGGCUUCUUCGCUCGUUCCGUGAGAGGGUCCUGCGAGUCGGAAUGUCCUUUAGGCGUCGUAAAGAAUAACAGUCCUAUGACAGUGGAAUCGAGAAAUGAGGAACGAUUGGAAUUUCGUUUUUCAUCGGUGAGACUGCAGAUCGAGACGAAGGAACGUUCGAAAAAUUCGAGAAUCACGUUUGGCGACUAACGCUGAAAGAAGUAAACGUUGAUCCUCAGAGCUGUGGACAGCGUGUACGGUGCCCAUUGAAAGUUCAGCAUCCUGAAGAAAUCCGAAUAUGGACGUCGUGAGCCCAAAGUGGAUGUGUCCAGAGACCCGUUGGGACCCCCGAAACGAGGAGCAAACAUCACUAAAGUGUCAGCAGCAUCACAAUUCGUAGGGGUCCGCUUGUUAGCGGCCCCAGGGCCGGCAAAAAGAGGCGCGCGAGUGCGAAUGCACGAGCAAAAAGCCGGUUCCACGCGUAGAAACAGGAGCAAAGAAAAAGAUGCCCGGCUGGUGCUGCGACGGUGGGUGCGAUCAGUGGGUCCCCUCGCUAUGAACAAAAGAGCGCAAGGGGGACCCAACUAAGUCCGUGGACCCCUCUCUCUCUCCUGCCGAGUCACCAAUGUUGGCAAUGCUCUUUGGCAGACGCCGACUCGCCUCGGUUAUCCCGAUUCGCUCGAUGUUUCGAUACAAAUUACACGAAGGACAUGGACACGGAACCCGAAGACGCCUCGAGUUCCAGUUCCAGUUCGUCAGGAUCAAGAAGACAGGAAGACUGAUGUUAUCAUCAGCUAGUGCUGCUCUCAUUUUUUUUUUUUUUUCUUUCAUUUCCGUAAUACAUUCAUUUCUUACGGUCGCACUGGGACUUUGUACGGUGCAUUAUUUUUGCAUACACGCAUAUCGUACCCUGUUACGCAAUCUAGUUCUACGCUUUUAUCUCGUCAGAUUGGCAGGCAUUAAUUAGUAUCUCUUUAAUCAGACUGACGCUAAUGCUAUCCUAGGUGAAUGGACUGGAGCACCAAGUGCCAUAAUACAAAACUGCAUAAUAAUCUGAGGCUGGUCAGGGACUCUGUAUGCAUAUGUUGUUCCUUGCUCUUGCCGUAUUAACAGCCAUCACUAAUACCUACCGUAGGACUCUAACUUGCAACUUAGUUAAACCGGCACUCGGGCUGUCUCCUUAUGGUAAUUCAGUAACCACUUAAUCAGUUGUUGCUUUCCCUGGGCUACAUAUGUUACUGUACGUAUGCACCUACGCCUAACGGUCUCUACUAUACGGAACCGGCAAAUUGGAUGUGGACCUUUAAUAGAUUGUAAAGGCGUAUCGCUGUCUUUUUCUUUUUUCGUUCUCAAGUCGCCGGAUCACUCACUCGUUAGGCGGCAAGAGUGGAACGCCUUGACGAGGGCCACGACGACGUGCCAGUGGAAAUUGACUUUAACGAGAAUCCGCGGAUACCAGGCAGAGAGUAAAUUCUUGUAUCUCUUUUUUUUUUAAUUCGAAGCCUCCAUCGCCUCGUUCGCUCAUUUCAUGAUGGAAGGGUGGCGAGAGGUGGGUAAGUGGACAAAAAAAUGUUGAUGUACUAAUUAUAAUUCUUUAGGUGUAGAUAUCACGUGAAAAAUUGAAGACGAAUAGAAAAAUCGGAUGUGGUCACAAGAUGCAGGUACAUAGGGCGAUAAGGUCCUCGGCACAGGGUACGAUGAUACGGUGGCUUGGAAGUUCAAGAAAUGGACAAUUCUGUUUUACUAAAUAAAACGUAUGGUCUUUAUACGUAUUCAUGUAUAGAUAUACCUGGCUAUAUCCCUACGUCGGAAUUAAGCGAACCAAACAGAUUGGCUCGGAGAAGAGGUAAUAGAGGCUAAACGGUGGCGGCACCUUGAUAUGCAAACUGAGGAAUUUCUGCGCACGGGGACGAUUCAGAUGGUCAUUGAGAAUGGCCGUUUGGUACAGCGCAGCUUCCCACUUUGUAAAUCGACGCGAUCCCUAAUUGUCUCGUUGGUCCAUGGGGCAAAAAAGUGCAGCGCUCGCACAAGAAAAAGGAAAGGAACCCAGCGGAACCUGCGGGACUUUCGGAGCUCGCGGAAUGCCGUGCCGGAACGCAUUCAAAUCGCCGCCGCUUCGUUUUGCGUCCGUGGAUUGACGUUGAGGGAUGACACGUUCCUGAGGAGAAGGCAUCAAGGGCCUCGGGCCUGUCGUAUCGUGAGAGCCUUCCACUCCGGACGCGGAAUCGGCAUUGGCCGUUCUACGGCCAGUCCGCUGUAUGGCAACGAGAGAAAUGAGCUUGGAUGGAACCGAGAAUUUUUGCCGGGCUGCCUUUUCGCCGCUUUCGUGAAUCGCUUGACGAUCGUGCCGAGAAUUGCAUCGUUGGGAUGCAAGAGGGUGAAUGCAUUUUGUGCAGUGCAAUCGGAGCAAUGUUUAUUCCGAUGAAAAUAUAUUAUUUACAGUUGCAUAGAUUUUUUUUAAUCAAAUUAUACAGCAUUAGGUGAGACUUUGUUUACGUGAUUUUUGAAAUCUUGAAGAAUGAAAAUUUUAUUAUGGCUGCCCGUAACUUAGGAAAAUUCAAAAAGGAGUGACUUUUUAGGAGAAUUUUUGGAUAUUCUUUCUUAAAUGCCAUUUUGGAGCAAUCGGAAAAAAAAAAGAAAAGGAACGGAACUCGUACGUGUCAGAGAGUGAUGGAAGAGCGCAACUUAUGCAUACCGUGUAAGUGACACGCAUGAAUAAUUCAUUCUAAUAAAAUAAUGCAGCCCCUGGACUCUCUUGGUUUCUAAGCAAAAAACCAUCGGAAUGGCCGAUCGCACCGAACCUAGCGACACUUCGUUUUUUUUUGUCCUUUUAUCUUAUUUCUUUCAUUUCUUACGCGCGGAGAAACUGCCGCACUUUUUUCGUAGGGCCUAUUCGAAACCAUUUUAAAUCAUUGUGAAUCCUUCGGGUUGGUACUGACGUUAUUUAACGUAGUAUUAUUUUACAUCGCUGUAUCUAUUUAUACUCAAUAUUUUUUACAACGAGCGAACGUUAUCGACCGUCUACUCUGUCGCAACUGCAAUCGUUUCACUUAUUACGUAAUAGCAAAGAAAUGUUUACCAGGAUAUAAGAUUUCAGAAAAAUUCAUAAUUCAAAACGGCUUUACGUCAUUCAGGAUCAAAUACUUUAUGUUCCGUUGUAAUUUUAUCGCAUACU
Cephus cinctus (wheat stem sawfly) is the source of this 4702-nucleotide long non-coding RNA. RefSeq lists it as uncharacterized. Lineage: Eukaryota; Metazoa; Arthropoda; Insecta; Hymenoptera; Cephidae. The transcript has 4 exons. The record is from RefSeq and is a predicted model, not a curated record.